UUCCGACAGAAAAAUAAUGUACGUGUCAGAGUCGGUUUACAGAUUUUCGCCUGAAGAUCUCCACCACCGCCUAAUGCCGCCCCCUGAACCUCCACCGCCGAGAUGGAGGAGAAGCAUAUCGAACAAUAUUCUUGUCAGCGGAAACGGACUCUUUCAUUAGUGGAGUCAUUCAUAGUUUUGGAGGGGUGGAAAAGGUUGAUAAUA
Molecule: non-coding RNA, 204 nt
Organism: Erythranthe guttata (spotted monkey flower)
Lineage: Eukaryota; Viridiplantae; Streptophyta; Magnoliopsida; Lamiales; Phrymaceae
Source: RefSeq, a predicted model, not a curated record